UACAGAGGGGGCAAGCGUUAUUCGGAAUUAUUGGGCGUAAAGGGCGCGUAGGCGGUUCGUUAAGUCAGAUGUGUAAUCCCCGAGCUCAACUUGGGAACUGCAUCUGAGACUGGCAGACUAGAGUACUGGAGAGGGUGGUAGAAUUCCACGUGUAGCGGUGAAAUGCGUAGAGAUGUGGAGGAAUACCAGUGGCGAAGGCGGCCACCUGGACAGUAACUGACGCUGAGGCGCGAAAGUGUGGGUAGCAAACAGG
This 253-nucleotide ribosomal RNA is filed under the name uncultured bacterium. Its description in RNAcentral is "partial 16S ribosomal RNA". It matches the Rfam family "Bacterial small subunit ribosomal RNA", at positions 524 to 776 of the family's 1533-position model. The record is from RNAcentral.